CAAGAUAUAGCUUAAUAAGACAAAGCAUCCGGUUUACACCCGGAAGAUUUCACCACUAUGAAUAUCUUGA
Molecule: transfer RNA, 70 nt
Filed under: Microsciurus flaviventer (pygmy squirrel)
Lineage: Eukaryota; Metazoa; Chordata; Mammalia; Rodentia; Sciuridae
Description: tRNA-Val
Rfam family: tRNA
About the family: Transfer RNA (tRNA) molecules are approximately 80 nucleotides in length. Their secondary structure includes four short double-helical elements and three loops (D, anti-codon, and T loops).
Source: RNAcentral